AAACAAAUGAGAAAAAUAAGAACGGCGUCCAUCCUUGCUAUCCCAGGUUGCCGGCCUGGAACCCAUCCUAGAUCGAAGAAGAAGAAGAAGCAACUCCAAAUGAACAAUCAACGCGCUCGCGUCAAGUAACCUUUACCUGUACCUGCAACUGGUGUUGUAGUAAUCUGUGAGCCACAGGGGACUCAGCAAUCUCAUUUCCAA
Molecule: long non-coding RNA, 201 nt
Filed under: Hordeum vulgare
Lineage: Eukaryota; Viridiplantae; Streptophyta; Magnoliopsida; Poales; Poaceae
Description: long non-coding RNA (HVUL_LNC015239)
Source: RNAcentral